AUGAUGAGCUCCAAGAAACUAGCUCAACUUUCCAAGAAGUGGCAAGGAAUCAGUGCCAUCGGGCGAAGAAGGGUCACAACAACGGACAAGGAUGUGCACCCAUCCUGCAGCUCAGUUGCAGGAAAGGGCCACUUCGUUGUCUACUCCUCCGACGGGAGGCGCUUCGAGAUCCCCAUAGCGUGCCUCCGCACGAUGAUCUUCGAGGAGCUCCUGAGGAUGUCGCAGGAAGAGUUUGGGUUCACAAGUGAGGGGAGGAUCACACUGCCUUGUGAUAUGACUAUGAUGGAGUAUGUAAUGUGUUUGCUCAGGAGAGAGGCCUCUGAAGAUGUUGAGAGGGCGCUUCUCAGCUCCAUAAUAACAACUUGCCACCAUCCAAGCAGAAUGAUGCAAGCAGCCACUGGACUUCACCAGCAAUUUGCUGUGCGCAGCUCUUCAAGAGUGAACGUCUCCAGAUUUUUCUUUCUGUUUUUAUGUUCCAUCUUUUUUCCCGGUUGUACUUUUGGAGCACACCUUUUGUGCAAUGUUUUUCCAAGGGUGCCGUACUGUGGAUGUACAGAUGGAUGCAUGUAA
This 570-nucleotide ribosomal RNA is filed under the name Triticum aestivum (bread wheat). Its description in RNAcentral is "partial small subunit ribosomal RNA". Lineage: Eukaryota; Viridiplantae; Streptophyta; Magnoliopsida; Poales; Poaceae. The record is from RNAcentral.